AUACGUAGGGGGCGAGCGUUGUCCGGAAUGAUUGGGCGUAAAGGGCGCGUAGGCGGCCCGGUAAGUCUGGAGUGAAAGUCCUGUUUUUAAGAUGGGAAUUGCUUUGGAUACUGUCGGGCUUGAGUGCAGGAGAGGUAAGUGGAAUUCCCAGUGUAGCGGUGAAAUGCGUAGAGAUUGGGAGGAACACCAGUGGCGAAGGCGACUUACUGGACUGUAACUGACGCUGAGGCGCGAAAGUGUGGGAGCAAACAGGAUUAGAUACCCUGGUAGUCCACACUGUAAACGAUGAAUGCUAGGUGUAGGGGGUAUCGACCCCUUCUGUGCCGCAGUCAACACAAUAAGCAUUCCGCCUGGGGAGUACGGCCGCAAGGUUGAAACUCAAAGGAAUUGACGGGG
Molecule: ribosomal RNA, 396 nt
Filed under: uncultured bacterium
Lineage: Bacteria
Description: partial 16S ribosomal RNA
Rfam family: Bacterial small subunit ribosomal RNA
Source: RNAcentral